Molecule: long non-coding RNA, 1169 nt
Organism: Heterocephalus glaber (naked mole-rat)
Lineage: Eukaryota; Metazoa; Chordata; Mammalia; Rodentia; Bathyergidae
Source: Ensembl
GGAGGCGCGGGGCGGGGGUUCCCCCCCCCCUCGCUGCUGCGCGCACGCACGGUGCCACUUUCCUUAUCUAAUUCUCUUUAUCCAGUUCCUUGAGCUUUGUGAGGGGAUAAAAGGUGAUGAACGUAUAGGCCCUAGGGAGGCUGAGGCAGGAGGAUCUGGAUGAGUUCCAGGCCAACCUGAACUACAAAGUGAGACCUUGUCUCAGAGGCCCCACCCAAAAAAGCUAGGCCUGUUUUCUCCUUUGUUCUUUCCUUGCCCUGAUCUGUAAAUGCAAAAUAGCGAGCAUUUAUGUAAACUAUGCAAAGUAGCAAGUAUUUACUGAGGCCCUGCCCUUUAUAUAAAGAUAUGCUCAUCUAGGUGAGUGUGCUUCAGAAGUUCAAAAUCUGAUUGGAAGGCUGAUCAGUGACCCAAGAAGCCUAACUCAGGCCACACACUGCUAUAGAGAGUCCUAAACCAGAGGGAUAGCCAGGGUGGUUUGGGAUUAAACCCUCAUCUCUUCUAGAGGGGGUAAAAGAAUGAGAACAGCCCCUGUGCUGUAAGAAGAGAGCUGCUGCUGCCCUCUGACCUGAGAUGGCAUCUGUCACCACUUCCUUUACAGCCCCGCAGGUGACGGGACCAGCAAGAUGACAGCCCCUGGAUGUUGGCCAUCUGAUUGCUGACCAUCGUGCCGCUGUCGGGGCCCCACUGAGCUAAAAUGUGAGCUGUUUCUGCCAUGGUGCUGGUGGAUUUACACAGAUCUCUCACCGCUCCUUGCAGGUGGAUUUACACAGAUCUCUCACUGCUCCUUGCAGGUCCCUAAUUCCUUCUGGGUUGCUGAAUCCAGUAAUCCUGAGGGGCUAAACCUGGCAAUCUCCUGUCAGGAGUCGUCUUCCUGGAUCUCGGCACUGCUCAGCAACUCCCACUGUGCCACCGUGUAGGCUCAGCCUGCUCACCUGGUCCAGGCCUCCCCCAGAGCUGCCUCAGCUCCGGGCUCCCUGCAUCUCUGAUUCCUCCUUUCCCCUUGCAAAAGCCAAAGACUCACUCAGGAGGCGUCCUUGGCUCCCCUCCUCUCACAGCCCUCAUCCAAACCAUCAGCAAAUCCUGCAGGUUCCACAUUCAGAAUAAACCUACUCUCUGAUCACGUCUCACGGUGAUGCUCAAAAAUCUGCCCCACCCACACGCACCUGGUG